AUUGAACGCUGGCGGAAUGCUUUACACACGCAAGUCGAACGGUAGAGGGGGCAACCCCUCGAGAGUGGCGAACGGGUGAGUAAUAUAUCGGAACGUGCCCAGUCGUGGGGGAUAACGUAGCGAAAGUUACGCUAAUACCGCAUACGAUCUAAGGAUGAAAGCGGGGGAUCGCAAGACCUCGCGCGAUUGGAGCGGCCGAUAUCAGAUUAGGUAGUUGGUGGGGUAAAGGCUCACCAAGCCAACGAUCUGUAGCUGGUCUGAGAGGACGACCAGCCACACUGGAACUGAGACACGGUCCAGACUCCUACGGGAGGCAGCAGUGGGGAAUUUUGGACAAUGGACGCAAGUCUGAUCCAGCCAUUCCGCGUGCAGGAUGAAGGCCCUCGGG
This 388-nucleotide ribosomal RNA is filed under the name uncultured bacterium. Its description in RNAcentral is "bacterial SSU rRNA". It matches the Rfam family "Bacterial small subunit ribosomal RNA", at positions 30 to 422 of the family's 1533-position model. The record is from RNAcentral.